Molecule: ribosomal RNA, 429 nt
Filed under: uncultured bacterium
Lineage: Bacteria
Description: bacterial SSU rRNA
Rfam family: Bacterial small subunit ribosomal RNA
Source: RNAcentral
UAGGGAAUCUUCCACAAUGGGCGAAAGCCUGAUGGAGCAACGCCGCGUGGGUGAAGAAGGUCUUCGGAUCGUAAAACCCUGUUGUUAGAGAAGAAAGUGCGUGAGAGUAACUGUUCACGUUUCGACGGUAUCUAACCAGAAAGCCACGGCUAACUACGUGCCAGCAGCCGCGGUAAUACGUAGGUGGCAAGCGUUAUCCGGAUUUAUUGGGCGUAAAGGGAACGCGGGCGGUCUUUUAAGUCUGAUGUGAAAGCCUUCGGCUUAACCGGAGUAGUGCAUUGGAAACUGGGAGACUUGAGUGCAGAAGAGGAGAGUGGAACUCCAUGUGUAGCGGUGAAAUGCGUAGAUAUAUGGAAGAACACCAGUGGCGAAAGCGGCUCUCUGGUCUGUAACUGACGCUGAGGUUCGAAAGCGUGGGUAGCAAACAGG